This 30-nucleotide small RNA is filed under the name Bombyx mori (domestic silkworm). RNAcentral describes it as "ovarian small RNA-13902". Lineage: Eukaryota; Metazoa; Arthropoda; Insecta; Lepidoptera; Bombycidae. The record is from RNAcentral.
CCGGCCGGGACUUCGUGCAGUUCGUGCACA